CCCCAUCCAUCCUCACCUCAAUAUGGUGCAGUCGUCCUGUCCCCUUUGCAGAAAAGCAUCCCCAAAGAAUGAUGUUGCCUCGAUUGCACUGUAUAUGCCUUGAUUGGUGGAACUAAGUUGCAUAGGAACUGAAUAUUUAAGGAGAGCAGAGUGAGGCAGUAGAAGAUUAAGAACUGGACAACAAGUUUCCACAAAAGAAAAAGAAGUCUAAGAAGAUUGAGUUCCAGGAGGAAGAGGAGAUACUGGAGAAGGAAGAUGCUAUUGAGGAUAAUGAGGGGGAAAACAAUGAUGACGUCUCCUUCAGCUCCCAGUCUGGUCCGACGUGGACUACACGUAUGAUGAGCUCCUGAACCGUGUUUUUAACAUAAUGAGGGAGAAGAACCUUGACAUGGUGGCCGGAGAGAAGAGGAGGUUUGUUAUGAAGCCCCCGCUGGUGGUCAGAGUGGGCAUUAAGAAGUCCUCGUUUACUUCACUGAUAACUGUAAACUAGGAAUAUUUGACGUGUCACACCUGUCGCUCUCCUGACACCAUCUUGCAAAAGGACACCCGUCUCUACUUCCUCCAGUGUGAGACCUGCCAUUCACGUUGCUCUGUGGCCAGGAUCAAGACUGGCUUCCAGGCUGUCACAGGCAAGAGGGCACAGCUCCAUGCCAAAGCCAACUAAGGCUACACCAGUCCUGGCUUCCCCUGUUCCAUCCCUGGGCCGGAGCUUUGGAUUCUGUUGAUUGGAUUGGGAGGGGUUUGUUUUUGUUGCUUCACUAUGGUGUGAGAGAAACAUAUAUAUUUUUUGACAUAAGAAGCAUUGCAGAAAAACCCAAUUGUUUUUUACGUUAUUCACCUUGAACUAUUCUGUUCCCUCAAAGAAAGCCUUCCUAACACAUUUCCCUUCCUUGGUAUCCUGUUCAUAUAUAUAACUAUUGAAUUAAAUGCUAUUAUAACAAAGUAAUUGAUAUUAGCUACCCACUGGUUCAAGUAUUCUGAAGUAUUAUACAUUGUACAUUCACAUAGUAAAUAUACAUUCAUAAAUGCAUUCAGGGAGCUCUGUUCAGUAUCACAUAGACCAUAUUUAGACUGGUAAACUGUAUUGGCCUUUUUGCUCAGCCAGAAGUGUCAGUAGGAUUUAAUGUGAAAUGUGUUAUGUCCAAAGUUUCCUCUUCUGUACAAUCCUCUGCUGCUUUUACUUGCUUAUCUGAUAUGUUAAUCCUAGGAUCAGGAUGAAGCUUCAUCAUGGAAGACUGGUAAAAAAAAAAUAGCUGUCUGUCCUUUGAAUGUGUGGCUUGACUGAAACUAAAGUAUAUAUUGAAAAUAUUAGGAUGACGUGCGCAUGCUUUUAUGGCAAUCACGUUUAUUUCUAUUUCCUAAUUUUUAAAGUGGGCACCUGGGGUAAAGCUCUUUUUUCAACAAUACUAAAAGGGCUUUAUACAAUACGUGAUU
Esox lucius (northern pike) is the source of this 1434-nucleotide long non-coding RNA. The record is from Ensembl. NCBI's taxonomy places the organism in Eukaryota, Metazoa, Chordata, Actinopteri, Esociformes, Esocidae.